CCAACUGUACACGCUUUUUAUCUAUCAUGCCCAAGAGGAUAGCAUGGGAUUCCCAAAAAUUGAGGCAAUCGCUCGCUUUAUCCAAAAGGCUUUUGACAAGAUGGAAUUCAAUACUGAAAAUGCCUACAUAUUGCUGAUUUACAUCGAAAGGU
This 152-nucleotide small RNA is filed under the name Protocruzia adhaerens. RNAcentral describes it as "Protocruzia adherens partial transfer-messenger RNA". The record is from RNAcentral. Lineage: Eukaryota; Ciliophora; Spirotrichea.